ACUCAGCCCACUCGCACCCGGGUGAAUAAGCAGCCUUGUUGCUCACACAGCCUGUUCAGGUUGUCUCUCUAAUUAGACGCUCGCAUAACAUUUGGUGCUGAAAGCCUGGGAUAGGGGAACUCCUCCUGGAGACCUCUCCCCUAUCCUCCCCGUGCCCACGUUCUCCUGUGCAAGAGACUUCCCUCGACCUCAGGACCUCAGAGCAGCCCCGCGAGCACUCCGGCCUCUGUCUGUGCAUCGGAAACCCAACAUUGGUCACGGACUCUUCUUAGGAAGACAGUCUUCCCUCAGUGUUAGGUCAAUGCCAGGGACGCCUGCCUUGACCAUUUGCCAGUCACACAACCCGGGACCUCCACUGGGGAUGCCCACCGAGGAUCCUAGUGGUUGCUGUUUUCCUUGUCUCUUUCUUUCCCCCAAAACUUCCCUUGUUCUAUCAUGGGCAAUCUCCCGCCCUCCAUCCCUCCUUCCUCCCCUCUGGCUUGUGUCCUCAAAAACCUCAAACCUCUUCAGCUUGCGCCCAAUCUAAAGGCUAAACAUCUAUUUUUUUUUUUUCUGUAACGUGUCCUGGCCCCAAUAUAAAUUAGACAAUGGCUCUCAGUGGCCAGAAAACAGCACUUUCAAUUUCUCUAUUUUGUGGGACUUAGAUAACUUCUAUGGCAAAAUAGGCAAAUGAUCUGAUGUACCCUACAUCCAGGCAUUUUUUUACGCUACGACCUCUCCCCAGCCUAUGCUCCCAAUGUAAUCCAUCCCAAAUUUUCCUUAUUUCUUUUCCGUCUAUGCCUCCUUCUUCCACUGGCGUUGCUGACUCCUCUUUGUCUGUUGACCCUUCCGAUCUUUCUCCCCACCACCACCUAUCCGAACCUGCUCCCAAUUCUCCCCCAGAACCUAUUUCUACACAGAACCCACCACCUUAUGUCCCUCCCAUUACCACCGUUCCUCACAUCCAGUGUGGCUUACAAUUUGGGCCUGUGGCCAACCCCCAGGCCCCUGCCUAGCAAUUUCCCCUUCCAGAGGUGGCAGGAACCGAAGGAAUAGUUCGAGUUCAGGUCCCUUUCUCCCUGUUCGACCUUUCCCAAAUUAGCCAACAUCUAGGCUCUUUCCCAUCUGACCCCUCCAAAUGUAUACAAGAAUUCCAAUACUUAACCCAGUCCUAUAAUCUUACUUGGAUUGACUUAAACGUCAUCCUCACCUCUACUGUCACUCCUGAGGAGCAAGAGCGGGUUUGCACCCUAGCUCAGUCUAAUGCUGAUAACCGCCAGUGCCUUGAGCCUGGCCUCCAAGAAGAUUCUAGGGCAGUACCUCCUGAAGACCCCGGAUGGACUUACCAGGCCCAAGACCACGGCAUAGCCAGCCGGGACUACACGAUCUCUUGCCUACUUCAAGGACUUCAGAAGGCUGCAUGUAAAGCCGUCAAUUAUGACAAACUAAAA
Chlorocebus sabaeus (green monkey) is the source of this 1430-nucleotide non-coding RNA. Lineage: Eukaryota; Metazoa; Chordata; Mammalia; Primates; Cercopithecidae. The record is from RefSeq and is a predicted model, not a curated record.